ACCCCGUCUGGUGACCGGCGACGCUGGGCUGGGUUCGGCGCAGGGGGUCGGGAAGCACAAAGAAGUUAAGUACUUGCCCAAGUUCACACCAAGAUUUGAACCCAGGUAGUCUUACUUCAGAGACUACGUUUUUAUCCGUGGCCAUUGCCAACCUCAUGCUCAUUCAUUUGUAAUUUGCCUUGCUACCAGUGUUUCUCUACCAUAAAAAUAUUAUGAGCCUCCAGCCAAACCCAACCUGAAGCCACCCAGCAAGGAGCCUGGGAGAGAGAGUCUAUGGGACAAACAGAUAUUUGCCUGCCUUGAUCACUCACCAUACCUAGAAAAGUGGCUGGCACCUGCUAACAAUUGAAUAAAUGCAACUCGUGGAAUAAAUGAUGGCCAUGUCAUAAGCAGCCCUAAGGAGAGGCCCAGGUGGCAAGAAACUGAGGCUUCCAGUCCUCUGUACAUGAAUGAGCAUGGAUGGAGAUUCUCCAGCCUAGUCAGCCUUCAGGUGACUGAAGUCCUGGCAGACCUCCUAGCUGUAGUCUCUUGAGAGCUCUUGAGCCAGAGGCACCCAACUAAGCCACUCCUGGAUUUCUGAUACACAGAAACGGUGAGUUCAGUGUUUGUUGCUUUAAACUUCUACGUUUUAGGGUAAUUUGUUGAGGUAUGAUCAGGAAAAGGAAAAAUGUGCUCUUCUGAUAAUAUGGGGGAGGGGGCCAGGAAGGGUCUGGAAUGAUUUCAGCAUCUCGGAAGGAGAGCCCUGAAGAGUGCUGUGAGGAUGGGCCUCACCCCAAUUCUGUUCACCAAGUGGCCUUGAAAAUGUCUCACCUCCUGUUCGGGCCUCAGUUUCUGUACUUGUAAAUGGAGAUGGAAGGUUUAAUUCCAGGCUCCAUUCUAAAACCCUUACAUACAUGUAGCACUUUACAAUUUGCAAAAUGUUUUUAUAUGUUGUAGUCCGGACCUGGAAGUGACAAAGAAUAGUUUCCAAAACUUGAAAAAAGAGGAGAUAAGAUUGGCUUUGAGAAGUUAAACUUCAAAAUCAGCACAUAUGGAUUAGAACAGAGAGAUACAAAAUCAUCUUAAAGCAGUGUUUAAGUGUCCUUCUGACUUGCUCUAAACUGAACCAAAAAUACAACUGCUUUCUUCUUAUCAAUCAGUGGUGGGAAAUACCAUGAAUGCUCUUUUUUUAAUGUGUGAAAAUCUCUCAGAAGAGUUCCUAGAACAACAAUAAGUGUUUUGCUUAUAACCAAGAGAAACUUAGUAAACCAAUAAGUGGAUUAUUAAAAAGAUAUCAAGAUUUGAUAUUCAUAAAUAAAGGAGUAUAUUACCAGAGUUUAUUAAGAACUCCCACUUGGUGUCCUAAUAAGAACUCUGGCUGCUACGUACAGUGCUGGGCAGCAUUCAUAUUCCUUGGCUGGUGGCCCCUCCUCCAUCUUCAAAGCCAGUGAAAGCAGGCUGAGUCCUUUCCCUGUUGCCAUCUCUCUAGCUUUCUGCAGCCAGGAAUGAUUCUUUGCUUUUAAGGACUCAUGCGAAUGGAUUAGACCCACUUGAAUAAUCCAGUGUAAUCUUCCCAUCUCAAGGUCCUUACCUUAAUCACAUCUGCAAAGUCCCUUUUGCCGUGUAGGUUAACAUAUUCACAGGUUCUGGGGGUUAGAAUGGCUAUACACACACACACACACACAUAUGAAAUAGUGAAAUAUCUGAGUCUUUUUUCAUAGUUGCUUGUCACCAGUCUUACUUCUCUACUCCUUGCUCCAUACUUGUGACUUGAAUGGAAUGGCAUAUUUCUAUAUUUUCAUUUUUUCACUUGCUUCUGCCUUUAUUGAAGUGAUUAUAGCUGUUAGAUAGGCUGUGUUUAUAAGUAUUUAUGAAUAAACACCACCCCACCCCCAGCAGUAACUUAAAACUACACGGGCCUAAUUUCCCUCGUGUUUUAUCUCCCUUGUGGGGAGACCGAAAGGCUCUGCUCUGUGCUGUUCUUACUUGGGGACAACAGUGGAGGGAAAAUCAGCUCCUCAAUCUGCAAAGGCUGAGAAAAGGAAGGGAAUGUGGUGGAUUGUGCGCUCAUUCCUGAAACUUCACUUCCGGUCGCAUUUCAUCGACAAAGGCACAGCAUUUGGCCAAAUCUAAGUUCAACAUCUCACUGUAUAUUUAUGGAUAGACCUAGUGACUCCCUUUAAACAUACAUAAACAUCCUUUCAAAAGUCCACAUCCUUUAAAAUAGAACCAUAGGCUUUAUCGUGAGAAAUUGCAGUCCCCUGCUCCACUCUCUAGCAGCCACCACUUUAAAUUAUUUCAGUGAUUUCUUCCAGGAUUUACCUCCAAGUUUCUAAAUAACAUGUGUAUCAUUCUAUUUCCCGACUUUUCCAUUUUAGCCACCAAAUUUUUAAGGGUGGGGAAGGUUCAACUUAGCUCUCUUCCUCACACAUCAUGUUUACAACAUCAUGAUCCUGUAAACAUCACAUACAGCUUGAGCUAUGGUUUCACUUAUACUAUGGCUUCAUUGUCUUUCUCGUGCAUUGUCUUCUUAACAUGAAUUAAGUCCCCCCCCCCGUUUUUUUUACAUUUGCUUAGUUUUCUGUGCACCUAUUAUUAAUUUUCCCUGAGCUCUCUGACCAAGCUAUAAAACUUCUCUUAACACAUUCAGACACACUGAGCCCUUCAUUAGCUUCAUUCUGUUCUCAGAAACGUCCCUUGUUGGCCUUCCGUCCUCCUGAUCCAGCUUUGUGACAGGUUACUUUCUAAGUCUAUUUACACCCACAAUUCCUAUUCCUUUAAAGCUGCAGGUUUCUAAUCAAGAAGAGGGGAAAAAAAGACUAGAUGACUUCUGAAAUCCCUGCUCUCUGUUCUGGAACUGUGACACAGAGAUGAAUAUUAUGUGAAGCCCAAAUAAAUUCCAAGGAUUGGCUCUGCUUUGUGCCCCCUGGCUAAAGCUUCUCAUUUACCCCAGCUCGGCUACUGGGCCUGGGUCCUCACUGGUCCAUCUUAGGCUUUGGUCGCCUACUUUGACUUCUCCACUCCACAACUUUCAAGAUCUUGGUUGUCCUCUGACUUCUGUUAUCCUGGAACCAAUAACAAAAGAAGAAGAGUGAGGAGCAGCCUUAUUUUUAGGAAUUCCUGAAUUCCCAAGAUCCAGCCCUAGAAGCACUUCCAUAUUCUUGCUCCUCCUUUGUCCCAUUAGAAGCAAAAAUUAUUAGACUUUACUCAAAAAGUGGAAAAUCCAAGUCAUAGAGAAAAACAGUGUGAAAGUUAAUAUCUUGUUAUGCUCUUAUCUGGGAACUGAUUGAAUUUCUAAAAGCCCUUGAGGUGCUCCUGCUGGCAGCUGGGAUUGAAGGUUCAAAGCAGAGAAACUGAGCACGUGGGGGAAAUGCUUUUACUUUAUGAUUUACUUCUCACUCCUGACGAUGGGAUGCAAUGUGCAAGGGGGGAGUGGAAUGGGAAUAUAAAUAUUGCUAUAAUAAUGAGAAUGCUUUCAUACCUGGUGAGGCAGGGAGAAUGAUGAAAAUGGUUCUGAGACACUGAUGAAACCCAGAGUGGUGUGGUUCUGAGUGGAGAAUUUGUUAAGAAACCUGAGAAAUUUCUGCCUACUUUAGUCUACCAUCAAGGAAAUUAUCCCCCCUUAUUUUUUUUUUAAACUCAUUUUCUGUUCUGUGUAGCACAACUGGAGAUUAGAAUAGAAGAGAUGUUCCUGGGGCCUUCUCUGAAAACAAUAGCCCCACCCCAACGACAGGGAAAGGAUUGAUGCUAGGAAUUACCAACUCGUAAAUGGAAAUUAAUACUGUAAUUAGCAAGGUAGGAAAAUCUAUCUUAUUGUAAAUUGUGAUACUUAUAGAUUGUGAUAUCCCCCCUGGGAUCACCAGGUUAUUUAAAAGGAAUAAAUCAGGAACCACAUUCAAGCCUAUAAGGAUGUCAGAAAUAUUCAGGGCAGACAUACACCUAAAACAGAUAAUACUUUCACCAGGGUUGUAAAACAGUGGAUAAAGUCAGUUUUUUAAAAGAUACACAUUUGUGAUUUUUGACACUUCUUAGAUGGAAAAUGUUUUCAGAUUGGCUUUUGAAUAUCAACAUUGUUACCUAGACAGCUUUCUAGCAAGCAGACUGAAGACAUUGGAUAAAAAGAUUAGUCUCACAAAAUACGAGGAGAUGAAUAUUGCAUUUCAAAUAAAAGCAGAAGUCUCCAAGGAUGAAAUAUAAACAUUUGAUAAACCUGCAGCUCUGAUAAAAAUCUAUAUAAUGGCCUUAACAUUUCUAUAGCUGUCCAAAAUAUGGAGCCUGCCUUCACAUCCAUUAACUCAUUUGGUUCUCAAGUGUGUGUGCGUGUGUACAUAGUAUGGGAAGAGGUAAAUGAGAGGAAUGUUAAAAAAAAAAAAAUCUUCAUUUUACAGAUGAGGAAGUGGAGCCCAGAAAGAUUCAAGCUCACACUGUCUCCCAGGUAUUAACAGACUGUGUGUAAUUAAUGUUACAUGCUCCUGAAUCAGAAUUUAAAUGGAGCCCAAAUGGAGCCCAAAUGGAGAUGCAACACAGAGAUGGCAUUCUAGCCACAGUAGUGUUGUGAUUUCAAGUUUAUUAGUUCAAGAAUGAAUCAAUCCAACAAUGUAGGAAAAGUACUCACCUCCCCACCUUGAAAAUUGAUUAAGGAAUAGCAGAAUUUAGUAUUGUCCCCAUUAUUAUGCCCACAUUUGACAGAUUGGUUAGAGCUCUGAUAGUUAUAGUGCAUCAUAGCCUGCCUUGAAUUGGGGCUCUACAUGAGUACGUGUCUUCCUUUCUGAACCGCGAGAGCUCACAGACCAGCAACCAGAUCUUUAAUAUGUUGUUUCCAUCCAGUGUAUAUCCCAGUGCCAGUGCUUCAUAAACAUGUAGAGUGGAAUAAACCAUGAGACACUUUGCAAUACCACCAAUUGGGUCAUGAUGUAGGCGUGCAGACUGGAAGAUUGUUGCAUCCACUUGGAGGGUUGGAGGUGUCAGAUGCCUCCCUUUUAAACCAUAUGACCUGGUUCCUGUCCUUUUUAUGCAGUUUGGCCCCAUUUCUUGGGAUGAAAUCAGUUGUAGAUGACCUCCUACUUUCAAACAGAUUGAAAAUGUGCCUGCAAGUCUAGUAACAAACUCAUGUGCUAAAAGGGAUGGUUUCCAUGUUCCAAAACUUUAAAUCCCUUAUCAGGAACACUGGGCCCUGUGACAGGGUUGUGGGAACCCUGCAAACCCCAUGAGUGAUGACCCACGUAAUAUUAAUAACCCUCAUCCCCACUCUGACCCAAACCCUGGACUCCAUCCUCAGCCAGGCUCUCAUGGAAGGACAGGCCCAGUCAGGGAUUGAUGCACAGGCUUCAGGAGCAUCUGUGGAGAAAACCUCUGCAAACUUUAAAGAGAAAUGCAUCUUGAAUGAUUCCUAGUUUGUCUAUAAAGGGGAGAAAAGAUUAAAAUAAAUGUAUAUGUAAGUAUAAACAAAAGAUAGGAAUAAAUAGAACGAAAAAAGUUUUAAUGACUUUUUCUAGCUGGUUGGAUUAUGAUUUGGGGUUUUUCUUUUCUGUUUUUUUAAUUGGUUUAAGGUAUUCAUUGUUUAACAUCUAUAAAUACUUUUACAUUUAUUUUUAAUCUUCUUGUAAGACAUUAAAUACACUACUAUUAAGACUAAAAUCCUUUUUGGCUACCAUCCCCAAAUUCCCAGGGGUAAUCACAUUACUUUGGCAUGCAUCUUUCUGGAUUUUUUCUUAAUAUAUAUUUACACAUACAUAUGUAUGCACAUAUAAAACAGUAUUGUUUUGUUUCUACAUAGGUGGCAUCAUACAAUACAUAUUCUGCAAUUUUUGUUCCAUAUCAGUUGCAUAUAAAUGUACCUCAUUAAAAGAAAUACUGUUCCAUCAAAUGGAGAGACUACAGGUUUAGUCCCACUGAUCCUGCGCUAGAAUCAUGUAAGGAGUCUUAAAAUCAAACCAAUGCCCAGGCCCCAUCCCUGGGAACUGAUGCAACUUUUUUUGCUUUCCCUAUUGCCCAAGUGUUUUAAUUUGUUACUGUUUUAUAACAAUAUCACUCUGCGUAAUCUUGCACAUAUAUGUGGGUGGUAUUCUAGGAAGAUUUUUUUUUUAAGCACUUUACAUUGCUUAUUGCAAUACCAAUUUACACUCUUACCACAGUAUGUGAAAAUAUCCCAUACACUGCUCUACCUUGGAUAUUAUCUAAUAUAAAAAAUUUUAAACUUUUUGCUGCUUGGAUGGAUUAAAACAAAUAGUAUGUCAUUUAUUUUCAUUCUACUGAUAAUUUUUAAGAUUUAUAUCUUUUCUUAUGUACAGUGAGAGAUUAAGGGCACAAGUUACACAGGUUUGUAUCCCAGCUGAGUUAUUUGCCUUCAGUCUAGUUGUUAAUCUCUCUGUGCCUUAGUUUGCUCACUUGUAAAAUGAAGAGAGUAAUAGUGCCUAGUUCAGAGGCUUAUUGUAAGGAUGAAAUGAUUUAAUAUAGGUAAGGUUUUAGAACAGUAUCAUCACAGAGCAAGCAUACCACAGAUGUUAGUUACUUGUUUUGGUCUUCUGUGUUUUUUUUACUAUUGUUACUUAAUCAGAAAUAUUUGGAUAAACACACACAUACAAAUUGAAGACAUAUCAUGAUUUAAAUAAGUAGCUAAUAUUUGGGAUCCCAAAGUGAUUUAAAAAAAAAAAAUCUUGGAGUUCCCGUUGUGGCGCAGUGGUUAACGAAUCCGACUAGGAACCAUGAGGUUGCGGGUUUGAUCCCUGGCCUCGCUCAGUGGGUUAAGGAUCCAGCGUUGCUGUGAGCUGUGGUGUAGGUUGCAGACGCGGCUUGGAUCCUGCGUUGUUGUGGCUCUGGCGUAGGCCGGUGGCUGCAGCUCCGAUUGGACCCCUAGCCUGGGGACCUCCUAUGCCGCGGGAG
RNAcentral lists this long non-coding RNA (6861 nucleotides) under Sus scrofa (pig). Its description in RNAcentral is "lncRNA (ENSSSCG00040008166.1)". Lineage: Eukaryota; Metazoa; Chordata; Mammalia; Artiodactyla; Suidae. The record is from RNAcentral.